This is a non-coding RNA of Amanita rubescens, 95 nucleotides long. The record is from the annotation of a GenBank genome assembly. NCBI's taxonomy places the organism in Eukaryota, Fungi, Basidiomycota, Agaricomycetes, Agaricales, Amanitaceae.
GCCCGCCUAGCUCAAUCGGAUAGAGCGUCAGACUCUUACGGAUCAAUCCGGGAAGUGUCAUCUGAAGGCUGCGAGUUCGACCCUCGCGGUGGGCU